This 509-nucleotide ribosomal RNA is filed under the name uncultured bacterium. Its description in RNAcentral is "bacterial SSU rRNA". It matches the Rfam family "Bacterial small subunit ribosomal RNA", at positions 64 to 572 of the family's 1533-position model. The record is from RNAcentral.
GAACGAGAACCAACGGAUUGAGGAUUCGUCCAAAUGAAGUUGGGGAAAGUGGCGGACGGGUGAGUAACGCGUGAGCAAUCUGCCUUGGAGUGGGGAAUAACGGUUGGAAACAGCCGCUAAUACCGCAUGAUGCGUCUGGGAGGCAUCUCUCUGGACGCCAAAGAUUUAUCGCUCUGAGAUGAGCUCGCGUCUGAUUAGCUAGUUGGCGGGGCAACGGCCCACCAAGGCGACGAUCAGUAGCCGGACUGAGAGGUUGGCCGGCCACAUUGGGACUGAGACACGGCCCAGACUCCUACGGGAGGCAGCAGUGGGGAAUAUUGGGCAAUGGGCGCAAGCCUGACCCAGCAACGCCGCGUGAAGGAAGAAGGCUUUCGGGUUGUAAACUUCUUUUAAGGGGGACGAACAAAUGACGGUACCCCUUGAAUAAGCCACGGCUAACUACGUGCCAGCAGCCGCGGUAAUACGUAGGUGGCAAGCGUUAUCCGGAUUUAUUGGUGUAAAGGGCGUGU